Molecule: ribosomal RNA, 274 nt
Filed under: uncultured bacterium
Lineage: Bacteria
Description: partial 16S ribosomal RNA
Rfam family: Bacterial small subunit ribosomal RNA
Source: RNAcentral
AUACGGAGGGUGCGAGCGUUGUUCGGAAUUACUGGGCGUAAAGCGUACGUAGGCGGACUGGAAAGUUGGGGGUGAAAUCCCGGGGCUCAACCCCGGAACUGCCUCCAAAACUUCCAAUCUAGAGAUCGAGAGAGGUGAGUGGAAUUCCAAGUGUAGAGGUGAAAUUCGUAGAUAUUUGGAGGAACACCAGUGGCGAAGGCGGCUCACUGGCUCGAUACUGACGCUGAGGUACGAAAGCGUGGGGAGCAAACAGGAUUAGAAACCCCUGUAGUCC